CAUUGUCUAUUCCAGUUUUAAACUUUAAUUAGAAAACGUCCCUCAACGAAGUCUAAAAGUCUUAACAUACCUUGAAUGCCGAACACGUGUCACAAAUCCUCAAGAUUUCGCCUUUCCCUUUCGUAAAGCUUCAGAAUGUUCCCAAUCUAUCAAAUAUGUAAUAUUCGUAAGCAAGCAAGUCCAUAGACACCUAUAUUACUAUAUGUUUAUCCUAUACUAAAACUUAUCCAAUAUAUAAUAAAUUUCCUAAAUCUCAAGCCUUGAAAAACUUAAAGAAAGAAAUAAGCAUUAGAAAAAUUCUCUUCUGUGUAUUCAUCUAUAGUAGCCUCCCUAUUUAUACAAGUUGUUCAUUCUUAUCCUAUCAUAAAAAAGGAAUCCAAAUCUUAACUAACUCUAACAAAUUCAAAUAAUAAAAAAGUAAAAAAGGAAAUAUUUACAUAUCAAUUACACCUAUAUCCUUUCUAGAAUCUUCUAAAUGAUACAGCUCAUGCUUCUCUUUCAUUUUAUCAAAACAAGGCACAUGUACUGCCAACUGUCUCAUUACUUUCUUCUUCUUCUUCUUCUUCUUCUUCUUCUUCGUUUCAUCAUAGACUUUAGGUUCUUUUCUCUUUUUCAUUAACGGGAAUAUUAUCUCUGAAUUUUCCGACAACACCCCUCCUCAAGUUGGAACCCGAAGUUCGGAGACCCAACUUGCUCAAAAAUGCUCAAUGUAAAGGUCCUGCAAGAGAUUUGGUAAACAAUUCUGCGAGCUGAGAUGAAGAAGGGACAUAGGAUAGUGAUAUCAGCCCAUCCAGUAAUUUUUAUCGAACAAAAUGACAAUCCAGUUCGAUGUGCUUUGUGCGCUCGUGAAAGACUGGAUAUUUUGCUAUAUGUAUUGCUGCCUGACUGUCACAACAAAGAGGUACCGACAAAGAGGGUUCUGCUGAUAAAUCAUUUAGCAACUGCACUAUCCAUGUAAUUUCUGCCACUAUACGUCUCAUGGAUCUAUAUUCAGCUUCUGCAGAACAGAGGGCCACCACUGGCUGUUUUUUUGAUUUUCAAGAAAUUGGACAUCCUCCUAAACUUAAGAAGAAUCUACUCACUGAUCUCCUGGUUUCUGAGCAAGAUGCCCAAUCUGAAUCGCAAUAAGCCAAUAGUUGAAAUAUUGGCUCAGAUGUUAAAUAUAAUUUGAAACCUGGAUCAUUGCAUAAAUAUCUUAAUGUAUGCAUCGUUGCUUCAUAAUGUCCAGAACAGGGAGAGUGCAUGUAUUGACUCAAGGUUUGGACAAUGUAAGACAAAUCUGGUCUUGUAUUGGUUAAAAAGUUUAAUUUUCCAAUGAGUCGUCUAUAAAUUAUUGGAUUUGGGAGAGGCCUGCCACAUUCUGAUGUGAGCUUGAGAGUGGGAUUCAAUGGAGUGGAAACAGAUCUUGAAUCAGGACAGUCAAAUUCUUUGAGGAGCUCUAGAGUGAAUUUCCUUUGUGUGACAACCAAUCCACCCCCCUCACGAACAAGCUCCAGGCCUAAAAAAUAGUGAGCAAGCCCCAAAUUUUUUAUUUGAAAUUCAGAAUCCAUAAAUGUUUUAAUGGCAGAAAUUCAGAAGAAUUAUUUCCUGUGAGCAAAAUAUCGUCAACGUACACAACAAGAAUUGCGAUGAGAGGACCAGAAACUUUGAAAAAUAAGGAAUAGUCAUUACGAGAGGCGGUAAAGCCUCUAGUCUUCAAAGCAGAAGAUAGUUUGGCAUACCAUUGUCGAGAUGCCUGCUUCAAACUAUACAUAGAUUUACGUAAGCGACAAACCGUAGAUGGAGAAGGAGCAGGCAAUCCCGGAGGAAAUCUGAUGUAGACUUCCUCAUCCAAAUCACCAUGAAGAAAGGCGUUAUUGACAUCCAGCUGGAAUAAAUCCCACUUCCUUUUAACAACUAUUGAAAGAAGGCAUUGGAUGAUUGUCAUCUUGACAACAGGACUGAAAGUUUCAAAAUAAUCCAAGCCUUCCCUAUGUGUAUCUCCCCAAAUAACUAGUCGCGCCUUGAGUCUCUUCAAAAUCCCAUCAGACUUUAGUUUGACCUUGUAAACCCAUUUGCAAGGCAAAACAACUUUUCUAGGAGGUAAUGGGACAGCUUCCCAGGUAUGAUUUGUUUCUAGUGCCGCAAACUCUUAAGUCAUUGCAGCCUUCCAUCCAGGGUGCAACACUGCUUGUUGAUAAGAAUGUGGUUCUUGUAUUUGGCAAAUAGAGGUGAGAAUAGAUUGAUUGUGAGGGGAAAGUGCAGCAAAAGCAAAAGAAUGCAGAGGAAGACAAGGAGCGUCAGGAGAAAUAAGAGAAGAGGCAGAAUUACAAAUAUAAUCCGAAAGAAAUAUAGGAGCAGAAUGUACUCGUUGUGAUUUGUGCAAUACCUGGCCAUGUGGAGAAGGUAACACCAGAGUAGGAACCUGCACAGUAGCAUCAGUAGAAAUAGGGGACUGAGAUGGAGAAAUAUUAGAAACAGGAGUAGGUAUAAAAGAAGUAGGAGAUGGAGGUGGAGCGAUGGAGUCAGAAAAAGAGGUAACUGGAGAAGAAGUAGGCGGAGGAGAAUAGUCUGUGCUAGGAAAAGAAGAGGCGGGAAACAGCUUCUGAAGAGGAGUUGAAUAGGCGAAAGGAAAAAUAUGCUCAAAGAACUUGACAAUCCUGGAGAUAAUGAUUUGAUUUGUCUGCAAAUUGAGAGUCUUGUACCCUUUCUUCCCAAAAAGGUAUCCCAAAAAACACAAGGAACAGCACGAGGGCUCAAUUUGUCCCUGUGUCGAGGCAAUGUAGAGGUAAAACAUAAACAUCCAAAGGGUCGGAGAUAGUUAUAAUCAGGAACUUUCCCAAAAAGAAUUUGGUAGGGUGAUUUAUUGUGUAAAACUUUAGAAGGGAAUCGAUUUAGUAAAUAAGUGGCAGUCAACAAACAGUCUCCCCAAUACUUCUUUUGGGUAUGAAAUUGAAAGAGAAGAGCCCGACAAGUCUCUAAUAAGUGCGUAUGCUUGCGCUCGACGAUGCCAUUGUGUUGCGGGGUAUCCACACAAGUGGUUUGAUGUAAAAUUCCUUGAGAUUGUAGAAAAACUUUAUGUUCAAAACCAGAACCCAGUUCAAAGGCAUUGUCCGAUCUAAUGAUUUGGACUUUGACAGAAAAUUGUCGAUCAAUGAAGGAUAAAAAAGAUUUGAAAGAGGAAAAAGAAUCAGAUUUGGUACUUAAGAGAAAUGUCCAAGUACAUCUAGAGAAAUCAUCAACUAUAGUCAAAAAAUAUUUUUCAGCUCUGUAAGUUGGAGUAUUAAAAGGCCCCCAAGUGUCAAUAUGUAGUAAUUGAAAGCAACUAGUUGAAGAGAUAGAACUAAGAGGGAAUGGUGGCUUAGUUUGUCUAGCCAUAGGACAUAUAUCGCAAGGAAAGUCAUCUUUCUCAGUAAAAGAGACAGUAGGAAUAUGUUUCAUAGCCGCAUAAGGCAAGUGCCCAAGUCUAUAAUGCCAUAAUUUAGAAGAAGAGAAAACAUUGGAAACAGAAACAACUUUAUUGAUAGCUGAAAUAGUAUUGCAAACAGGACUUAUGACAGAAUGGCUUGAAAACCUUGAAGAAACUUACUCUUGAGAUAAAGAACUAGACAUAUGACUCUGAACUUGUGACAAUAAACUAGACUGGCGCAGACUUGGAGUGAUCGAAGCUGAGGUAGAAUGUUGCAGGGAGGUGUUACUUCUCAGCACAUAGAGCCUUGUAUUGGCUUCACCAAAAAAAGGUUCAUUCUUCAUUGAAGGGACCUGCAUAGCAUAUCCAAAUUUAGAAAAAAUUAAGUCACAAUCAAACUGCUCACAAAGCCUAUGAACAUAAAGAAGAUUUUUCUUAAAAGAAGGGAUAAAUAGAACAUUGUGGAGCUCUAAGUCGCUAGCCAGAUGCACACUACCUACUACAUGCACUUUGAGUUUGUAGGAAUUAGGAAAUGUGACUGAAAUUGGAGAGUCUAAAUAUUUAAGGUUAUGCAAAAGAGUUUGAUCAAACGUCAUAUGUUGUGAAGCCCCAGUAUCAAUGAUCCAAAAUUUACUGCUUGAAGGAGAAAAUAAAGAACCAAAGAUAUUACCAUCAUCUCUAGUUUGAUGUUGAGAAAAAAGAGAAAAGAAAAUAUUACAAACAGUAGCUGUACCAGCCAGAUUUGCACUAGCAGAUGCCUCAGAGUUUCCAGCACUAGGAUCAUCACACUGCAUGGUCUGGAAAGCUUUGGACAAUUUCUCACAUUGUGCCUUGCUAAAAGGUUUAUUGGUGAUGAAGUUCAACAUGUUGUCUCUUGGAUUUGUGGAGGAAUGGACACCUCCUGUUUGGACUGCAUUAGCAUAAGAAUCUGAGUUUCCCUCUUGCUUCUGUUUCUGACCAUUAAACUUAAAAUGGGGAGAUAUCCAAUAAGCUUGUAGCAGUUUGCUUUGAUAUGAUUAGUCUUCUUGCAAUAUCUGCAGAAUAAGUCCGUUUGUUUCACUUCAUGGGUUCCUUCGUGUUGUCCAGCUUUACUAUCAAACUGCUUCUUUGGAGGUGUCCAUCUUUGAGCACCUUUUUGAUUCACAAAAAAUGCAGAAGCAUCAGUAGACAUAGAAUUGUUAUUAUGUACCUGUUUUUGGGAUUCCUCAUGUAAUACGAUAGAAUAAGCCUGAGAUGCUGUUGGAAGUGGUUUAAUCAUCAAUAUAUUCCCUCUUGCAGCGCUAUAACCUUCAUUGAGCUCCAUCAGAAAUUGUAGCAACUUUUGAUCCUCAUUCAUUUUGUGAUUAUGUCCUUUAGCUCCACAUUUGCAAUCACAGGUGCAGAUCAUGAAAGUAUUCAAUUCCUUCAUCUGAUCCCAGGCUUUUUUUCAGGUUGGUGAAAUAACCAGCUACAUUAUGAGAUCCCUGAGUCAUAUUGAUGAGUUCCCUUUGUAGCUAAACAACUUGGUUCCAUCAGCCUGUCUAUAUCUCUUUUCUAAUUCUCCCCAUAAUUCAACAGCAGUCUGAGAGUAAAGAACACUCUCAGCUAUGUCUUUGCUCAAGGCAUUAAGAAGCCAGGAGAGAACCAUGUCAUUACAUCUUGGCCAAUGAACUAACAAAGUACUCUCUGUGUCUGGAAUUUUGAAGGAUCCAUUGAUAAAACCAAGCUUAUUUUUGGCUGAGAGGGAGAUUAGAACCCCUCUUUUUCAGCUACCAAAGCUGGUACCAUCAAAGCUUGUAUUGAUCAGAUUCAUGCCAGGUGAAUCUGAAGGAGAAAGGAAAUAAGGGUGUGAGACAUCUAUCUGCUCACUAGUUUUCUUAGAAGAAAUUCAUGUCUCUUCACCCAUUGAUUAGAGUUGAAGGAAGCAGAAAAUGAUUCUUAGAUGAGUAAAAAAUAAAUAGAAACAAUAUGAAUCUAGAGUGGCUCUGAUACCAUGAAAAACUUAAAGAAAGAAAUAAGCAUUAGAAAAAUUCUCUUCUGUGUAUUCAUCCACAGUAGCCUCCCUAUUUAUACAAGUUGUUCAUUUUUAUCCUAUCAUAAAAAAGGAAUCCAAAUCCUAACUAACUCUAACAAAUUCAAAUAAUAAAAAAGUAAAAAAGGAAAUUAUUUACAUAUCAAUUACACCUAUACCCUUUCUAGAAUCUUCUAAAUGAUACAGCUUAUGCUUCUCUUUCAUUUUAUCAGAACAAGGCACAUGUACUGCCAGCUGUCUCAUUUCUUUCUUCUUCUUCGUUUCAUCAGAGACUUCAGGAUCUUUUCUUU
RNAcentral lists this long non-coding RNA (5689 nucleotides) under Solanum tuberosum (potato). Its description in RNAcentral is "long non-coding RNA (STUB_LNC005931)". Lineage: Eukaryota; Viridiplantae; Streptophyta; Magnoliopsida; Solanales; Solanaceae. The record is from RNAcentral.